RNAcentral lists this ribosomal RNA (387 nucleotides) under Triticum aestivum (bread wheat). Its description in RNAcentral is "partial small subunit ribosomal RNA". Lineage: Eukaryota; Viridiplantae; Streptophyta; Magnoliopsida; Poales; Poaceae. The record is from RNAcentral.
AUGGCCUUCCCCCUCCCUCACUUUUACUCCCUCCUGGCCGCCGCCGCCGCUCCUCCUCUUCCUCCUCUCUCCCGUAGCAGAUCCACCUCCCCUUCCUUUUAUUCAUCCUCCACGCGACCAUCGACGAUGCGUGGUUCUAGAUCGGACGUCUCCAUGGAGAGCAGGGAUGAAGAAGCAGUACAGGCCUGCGGUGGGGCGACCCGAACCGAGGAGAACUCGGCGACAGGGAAAAGAAGCAGCAGUGGCAGCGCUUGUCUCGGUGGGGGUGGAGCUGCUCGGAAGAUGGAAGGGGACUGUCGACUUGCGGGACGAGCAGGCCGGCCCUUGUUCGCCCUAGAGACACUUCCGACGCCGCAAGCCAGGGCAGCUCGACCACAGGAGCAGUAA